GACGAACGCUGGCGGCGUGCUUAACACAUGCAAGUCGAACGGAAAGGCCCUGCUUUUGUGGGGUGCUCGAGUGGCGAACGGGUGAGUAACACGUGAGUAACCUGCCCUUGACUUUGGGAUAACUUCAGGAAACUGGGCUAAUACCGGAUAGGAGCUUCUUCUUCCUGGGGGGGGGUUGAAAGUUUCGGCGGUUGGGGAUGGACUCGCGGCUUAUCAGCUUGUUGGUGGGGUAGUGGCUUACCAAGGCUUUGACGGGUAGCCGGCCUGAGAGGGUGACCGGCCACAUUGGGACUGAGAUACGGCCCAGACUCCUACGGGAGGCAGCAGUGGGGAAUAUUGCACAAUGGGCGGAAGCCUGAUGCAGCAACGCCGCGUGCGGGAUGACGGCCUUCGGGUUGUAAACCGCUUUCGCCUGUGACGAAGCGUGAGUGACGGUAAUGGGUAAAGAAGCACCGGCUAACUACGUG
This 467-nucleotide ribosomal RNA is filed under the name uncultured bacterium. RNAcentral's name for it is "partial 16S ribosomal RNA". It matches the Rfam family "Bacterial small subunit ribosomal RNA", at positions 28 to 507 of the family's 1533-position model. The record is from RNAcentral.